UGCGUAGGCGGCUUUCUAAGUCGGAUGUGAAAACUCUGGGCUCAACCCAGAGCCUGCAUCUGAAACUGGAGAGCUAGGGUUCUGGAGGGGAAAGCGGAAUUCCUGGUGUAGCGGUGAAAUGCGUAGAUAUCAGGAGGAACACCGGUGGCGAAGGCGGCUUUCUGGACAGAUACCGACGCUGAGGCACGAAAGCUAGGGGAGGCAAACA
RNAcentral lists this ribosomal RNA (208 nucleotides) under uncultured bacterium. RNAcentral describes it as "partial 16S ribosomal RNA". It matches the Rfam family "Bacterial small subunit ribosomal RNA", at positions 568 to 774 of the family's 1533-position model. The record is from RNAcentral.